Molecule: long non-coding RNA, 2253 nt
Organism: Peromyscus maniculatus bairdii (prairie deer mouse)
Lineage: Eukaryota; Metazoa; Chordata; Mammalia; Rodentia; Cricetidae
Source: RefSeq, a predicted model, not a curated record
AGAGAUUCAGGGACCGUGGGUGCUGACAUCCCAGAAGACAUACAUUCAUUUACUUCAGUCGUACACCCAUGACAAUUGCUGCUGGCUUGUAUGUAAUAAGGCACCGAGUUCCCCCUUUCUCCAUAUUGGUGACAGCAUUUGCUAUUGUUACACAUCCAAUGGUUGUAUUUUAACUGUGGAAAAUACCUGCAGAUUGAAAGUGUGACAUUGUGAGGACCCUCCAGCCUAUGUCCAGCAUUUCUCCUGUCUGCAGACCCUGGUUAAGUGACAGCAGAGAAACCUGUGAUGCCAAAAGCCAGGUUUUUUUUCUUUUUUUCCCCCAGAGAUUUUAUGCUACACUGGGUCUAAUCACUAUGAAACAAAAUCCACACCAGAUUAUAAAAUAUCAAGGAUUUUUUUUUUUUGUGGGAUCAUUCCAAAAUGUCGAGACAAGAAGGAUAGUAAAUAAGAGAGAACUGGAGAUAAAGGGAAUGGGAUACACACCCAGCCCAAUUUCCACUGAGUCCCUUUUUGAAGAAGCAAAUCAAAGAACACUAAAUGAUAUUCUGGGAAAUUAAACAAACUGGGAUAUGAACCACAACUUAGAUACUGUUACCUGAGAGCAGGAAUCCUUGGGGUGAUGACAGCAAAGUGUGGUGCAUCAUGGGUGCAUAGGAGGAGCUUGUGAGGGUCCAGAGCCCAAAGGUACAAGGGCAGCUCAGCUUCUCACCGAGCCCCUCCAUCCCUAACCUCUGUUCGGAGAAUCCUGGUGGGGGAGAGAAAGGAGGUGGGUAAUUAGUGUCACAUAUCCUAAAUGGCAAGGUGCUGACAGCUCUCAUAGGCACAUUAACCGAUGGACAGCUUCCCUGGAAUGCACCUGACCCAUGGGCACCUGACACCAGCAGUGCCUCCCAGACACCCUGGAGCUCAGAAAGGCUGACGGACUACUUGAGACUGACAGAAUGGAAAACGCUGAAACAAACUCAGCCAAUUGUGUGUCUCUCCUGCUGGACUUCCUGGUGACUGACAUUUUACUGCAGGAUCUUGGGGUGCAGCCCAGCACUCCUACACUUCACCUCCUGCGGCAUCAUGAUAUUCUGCCUCUCUAGAAAUGCAAGUGACUGAAACCAUCUGUCUUUGAGGUUUCAGAGCUCCCACUGAUGUUUGAGAGCCGUCUGAGCUCAGCCCUUAACCCUACUCAGCUGAGCAAAUGACUGUGUCCCCGAGGAGCACUGGCUACACACUUCAGCAAUACCACUUGCUCUUAGAAGAGACUCGUCCUGGUGGCUGGGGAAGAGGAUGCUUGUUCUCCUUGCUCCUUUUCUCUGAGUUCCCACAUUCUCAGCUCCUUGAGAGGUCUGGUCCCAGAAGGAUCUUGUCACUCAGGCCUUCCCAUUUGCUACUCCAAAGCACUUCUUGGAUCUCUCCGUGAUCCUAAAGUGCCCACAGGUGACACUGUAACUGCAGGUCACAGUGUGUGUGUGUGUGUGUGUGUGUGUGUGUGUGUGUGUGUGUGUGUGUGUGUGUGUGUGUGUGUGUGAUGGAUUCCUGGAUGUCUACUGCUGUCAAAAUGCAGGCUCACGUCGCCUGUGCCCAUGCCUUAUGUGCCAAGCAGAGCGGUCAUCAGGGACAUUGAAUCUGUGAGUGUUUAAGUGUCCUCCAUGUGCCAUGACCUUUUUGGGAAAAGGAUUCAAAACCAAGUAGCAGAGAGAGUUCUGACUUAGAGAUAAGAAGCCGAUAAAGAGUAAAGUCCUGUAAAUCACAGAGCGCAUGAGAUAGGAAGAAUGCAGUGUCUGUGAUGUGCACAGACUGACUGAACACCAAAUCUGUGUCCCAGGGGCACCAUUAGGGCAGGCCCCUCCAGCCAGCCCCUGCUUCCUUCCAGAGCUUCAGCCUCAGCCCUUCCUCUUGUCAGGAAGGCGCUGCUGCUGUUUCCUGUGGAGAAUGUGGAACUCCUCUCCUUCACAGUUGCUUUCUAAGAAAUGGAAGGAUCCAGAAAGAUGCAAGGGGAUGGCACUAAACAUAUACCAACAGAGGGAGUCAGAUGGCAUCAUUUUUUGUCCCACGUGGAAAAGCUCCAGCUAGCUACUCUCGUUUCAAUGCUGUGAACCUGCUACCUUCUCUCCCUGAGAACAAACUGGUUAAGUUUUGCAGAGUGCUUUUGAAAAAGCACAGUGCUGUAAAGUGGCCAGGACUGGAGGAGGCCCCUCACGGAAACCGGGAGGAGAAAGGGCCAGUGGGAGCUCGGGCUUGUCAUUUGCAUAGAACAUUUCA